GAUGAACGCUGGCGGCGUGCCUAAUACAUGCAAGUCGAGCGGACGGACGAUAAUCUUGCUGCUCUGAUGUUAGCGGCGGACGGGUGAGUAACACGUGUAUAACCUACCUAUAAUACUGGGAUAACUUCGGGAAACCGGAUCUAAUACCAUAUAAUAUUUUGAACCGCAUGGUUCAAAAGUGAAAUACGGUCUUGCUGUCACGUAUAGAUGGAUCCCGGCUGCAUUAGCUAGUUGGUCCGGUCACUGCUUACGAAGGCAACGCUGCAUGUCCGACCUGAGAGGGUGAUCGGCCACACGGGAGCUGAGACGCGGUCCAGAGGCCUACGGUAGGGAGCAGUAGGGAAUGGUACGCAAUAGGCGGAAGCAUUACGGAACAAGGGCGCGUGAGUGAUGACAGUCCUCCGAUCGUAAAACUGUGUUAUUAGGGAAGAACAGAUGUGUAAGUAAAUGUGCAGAUCGUGACGGUACCUGAUAAGAAAGCAACGGCUAACUACGUG
Molecule: ribosomal RNA, 497 nt
Filed under: uncultured bacterium
Lineage: Bacteria
Description: partial 16S ribosomal RNA
Rfam family: Bacterial small subunit ribosomal RNA
Source: RNAcentral